RNAcentral lists this small RNA (125 nucleotides) under Marmota monax (woodchuck). Lineage: Eukaryota; Metazoa; Chordata; Mammalia; Rodentia; Sciuridae. The record is from RNAcentral.
GACGGGUUUGGCGGUGCACUCCUGUAAUCCCAGCGGCUUGGGAGGCUGAGGCAGGAGGAUCACAAGUGCAAAGCCAGCCUCAGCAAAAGCAAGGCACUAAGCAACUCAGUGAGACCUUGUCUCUA